GGACUACCAGGGUUUCUAAUCCUGUUUGCUCCCCACGCUGUCGCGCCUCAGCGUCAGUAAUGGACCAGGUCGCCGCCUUCGCCACCGGUGUUCUUCCCAAUAUCUACGAAUUUCACCUCUACACUGGGAAUUCCACGACCCUCUUCCACCCUCUAGUCACCCAGUAUCAAGCGCAGUCCCCAGGUUAAGCCCGGGAAUUUCACGCCUGACUAAAAUGACCGCCUACGCGCCCUUUACGCCCAGUAAUUCCGAGCAACGCUAGCCCCCUUCGUAUUACCGCGGCGGCUGACAC
Molecule: unclassified non-coding RNA, 292 nt
Filed under: uncultured Alphaproteobacteria bacterium
Lineage: Bacteria; Pseudomonadati; Pseudomonadota; Alphaproteobacteria
Description: contains 16S-23S intergenic spacer region
Source: RNAcentral